This 1851-nucleotide long non-coding RNA is filed under the name Homo sapiens (human). RNAcentral's name for it is "HSALNT0213260". Lineage: Eukaryota; Metazoa; Chordata; Mammalia; Primates; Hominidae. The record is from RNAcentral.
UUAAAAGUCCUCAUCUACUCUUAAAGGCUGAAUAUGAAGGCAACUCGGACUAAGAAGACGACUGCUUUCCAACUGCCCUCCCGUCCUGCAGCCGCCUGAUUUGAGGAAGGGGCUGGGAUCCUUCCCCUUGCCCUCUGGUUGUUCUUGGAGUUACAGCAGCCCCGCGGCAGCUCUGCCCCCUAGUGCACAUGUGAGGCAGCGCGCCCUUCUCCAAUCCAGAAGCCUCGUCGCGGUGCUGCCAGCAAGGGAGUUUUUCUGUAUUCACUUUGGUGGAAAUAGCAAAACUUGACAGAAAAAAAACCCAAGCCAAACCAAAACACACGAACCAUUCUAGCCUUUUCUCUCUUUCGUUUCUUUCUGAGGAUCUGGCCGAUUUGGAUGCAGAAAACAUGCCUGUUGCUUCUGCUGCGAAAUCUGCUCUUUCUCUUCCUGCUAUCGGAACCCUGUCCCUUCUUUCAAAGCCUAAUUCAGGCCAGGCGCGGUGGCUCACGCCUGUAAUCCCAGCACUUUGGGAGGCCGAGACAGACGGAUCACUUGAGGUCAAGAGUUUGAGACCAGCCUGGCCAAAAUGGUGAAACCCUGUCUCUACUAAAAAUACAAAAAUUAGCUGGACAUGGUAGCACACGCCUGUAAUCCCAGCUACUCGGGAGGCUGAGGCAGGAGAAUCACUUGAACCCGAGAGACGGAGGUUACAGUGAGCUGAUAUCAGGCCACUGCACUCCAGCCUGGGUGACAGAGUGAGACUCCAUCUCAAAAAAAAAAAAAAAAAAGCCUAUUUCAAAUUCCACCCCUUGCCUAAAAACUUUUCCUGACUUCUGACUUUCCUCUCCUAUGCGUCUUUUUUAUUUUUUAUUUUUGAGCUGGAGUCUCACUGUGUCACCCAGGCUGGAGUGCAGUGUCGCAAUCUCCGCUCACUGCAACCUCCGCCUCUGGGGUUCAAGCAGUUCUGCCUCAGCCUCCCGAGUAGCUGGGAUUACAGCCACCCGCCACCAUGCCUGGCUGAUUUUUUGUAUUUUUAGUAGAGACGGGGUUUCAUCAUGUUUGUCAGGCUGGUCUCGAACUCCUAACCUCAAGUGAUCCACCCGCCUUGGCCUCCCAAAGUGCUGGGAUUACAGGCAUGAGCCACCGCGCCCAGCCAUCCUAUAUGUCUUUUGAAAUAUGGCUGUACACAGGCUCAGCACACAGUGUGCACUUAUAUACUGUAUUUCUUUAUUGGGGUCCAAGUCUGUGCAUCUUUUGUGUUCACAGACCCCAGGGUGCCCAGCACAGGGCUGGGGACACAAACUGCUCUCAAUAAGCCCCUGUUUAUUAAUUAAUUGAUUAGCUUCCACAGAAACAACUGAGGUUUUGCUUCAAUAAACCUUGCAGAACUCUUAGUUCUUUAGGGACUCUGGAUAGUGAUCUAAUCAAAUAUGGCCUUGCACAGUAAGUCAUUUCACAAAGCAAUUUCACAAGAGAACACUAACAUCACCCAGAGUGGGAUGAGGAAGUCUGAAAUUUGAAGUGGACUCUCAGAAAGAUGAGGAAGGUGGCGGUGCUGUAGACAGGUCAAAGGACAAUGACUUAGGAGAGGUGGGUCUCUGCUUCUGGGAUAGAAGACGCAGCACGGGCCCUAGAGUUAGCUUCAUAUCCAGACUCUACCACUUGCUGUAUGUCCCUGGGCAAGUUUACUCUUCUCUCUGUGCCUCAGUUUUCUCCUCUGUAAAAAAAGGCCGGGCAUGGUGGCUCCUGCCUGUAAUCCCAGCACUUUGGGGGGCCAAGGUGGGCGGAUCACCAGCGGUCAGGAGCUUGAGACGAGCCUGGACAACAUGGUGAAAACCCAUCUCUACUAUAAAUACAAAAAUUAGCAAG